UUUUGACUUGUAGAUCCAAAUUGGAGCUGAAGUAUCUCGUGGAAGCUUGAGUAAAGGAGGAUCUUUGAUUACAAACAAUUUAUAUCUCUAUCUCUAUCUCUACUCUCUAUCUCUACUACAUAUAAUCCACCAAGAAAACUUUCCUAAGUACACCCACCAACUUGUUUACCACAGUCAUUAUCUCUGCUCACCUCUCCUAAGUACAUCCACAAAUGUACACCAAAAACUCUGCUAAUCAUUCAAAUCAACAGCCCAGAUUACUUCAUAGAUCUAUAGAUCUAUUUUCUCUUACUCACUCACAUCCAAUGGACCAUAUUGCCUGGACCAAACUUCCUCAGUCAUCCCUCCUCCCCUCCCACACGCGCGCCGAGCCACGAGCAGACGCCUCAACUCCUCGCGUCGAAGAAAAAAAAAGCGGACGGCGGCGGCGCGAGGACUCGAGGAGUCCAGGACCGGCGGCGGCGGCGGCGCAAGGAUUCCAGGACCGGUGGCGGCGGCGCGAGGAAUCGAGAACCGGUGGCGCCAGCGGACGACGACCGGCGGCGGCGGUCGCGGAGCGGCGAGGGAUCCGCAAGGGCUCGACCGCCGGCGGCGCGAGCGGACGACGAACGCCGCCGGAGAGCGGACUCGGACAGGCUGCGGUCGCGAAAGCAGACCCGCCCUGCGCCGGCGGUCGGAGUGCCGCGCGCCUCCCAUCCAGCGGCCUGCAGGCUCGGACGCCGCCGCUGGGAGACGCCGCCUGUGGGCUCGGCCGCCGCGUCCGGGACGCCUGCCGCCUGCGGGCUCCAGAUCCUCCCUCUCCCUCGCCGGAUUCAGGGAGGAGGAAGAACAUGGCAAUAAGUUUCUUUCCCGAGAGCUGAGGCGAAAAGUUGGCUCUGUUUCGGAAAGUGGGCAGGCUGAGGCUCCAUAUUAGAGAACUCUGGAGAGAACUAUUAAUUUUAGUGACGACGGAUAUAAGUCUACUGUUUCUACUUGUCUGCCCAGAAAAUAAUACUGAUAUAAUCUUUCCAUUGGCCGGUGAAACUGGAAGAUAAGAUCUUUGUAAUCUCUAUGUAGUGCUGUUUAAUCUUUAGCUUUCAGAGUUUUACACACAUAUCUAACUGAUCUUUGUAAUCUCUAUGUAGUGCUGUUUAAUUUUUAGCUUUCAAAGUUUUACACACAUAUCUAACUUUAGUGGCUUACAAAGCACUAUUUUUU
Long non-coding RNA from Panicum virgatum (switchgrass), 1197 nucleotides. RefSeq lists it as uncharacterized. NCBI's taxonomy places the organism in Eukaryota, Viridiplantae, Streptophyta, Magnoliopsida, Poales, Poaceae. The transcript is spliced from 2 exons. The record is from RefSeq and is a predicted model, not a curated record.